This is a non-coding RNA of Heterocephalus glaber (naked mole-rat), 1807 nucleotides long. The record is from RefSeq and is a predicted model, not a curated record. Lineage: Eukaryota; Metazoa; Chordata; Mammalia; Rodentia; Bathyergidae.
GGUGACCCAAGGGUCCCCGGAAGACGGCGUCUUGGAGCCGGAAGUGGCGCUCGGGCCCCGGUGCGGCUGCGCGUCGCGCGCGUCGUCUGCGUGUAAACCCGAGCCCCCAUCUUCUCUGCAUGGGGUCCAGGACUCGGGACCACCGUUUUUGAAGGUCAAUGGUGUCUCUGACCUGAUUUGAAGAACGCAGUUAUGGCUUUGUGAAGAAAACCCGACGAAGUUCUGCUCCUAAUCUGAGGGCGUCCCCGAGAGCCCAGGCUGUGACCCUCGCAGGCCUUUCCCAGCUGUGAACGCAGCCUUCCCUUCGCCUCCUGGCUGCGCACCACGUGCAGACGCGACCCACGCACCGCAUAACCGACAAGCACCAAUAGUCACUGCUGCAGAGUCCCGACCACUGCAGGGUGCUUUAUCAUUUAUUGAUCACAUGUCGCGCGAAUUUUACAUCUGAAAGACAGUUGACUUGGCACACUUUUUGGGUGGUGGAAAAAUCUAAUGAGAACUAGAUCAGUUCUAUGAUUAGUGCCGUGUGUUCACUUGAGUUGCCAUGGGGUCCAACAUCUACAAUAUAAAAACUGCUUUGAAGCGUUUCGGUAAUGUUUAUGGGAAACCUCUCAACACCCACCCUUUCUCAACGGGCCUAGGUGCUUCAUGGGGCUGGAGUACUCUGUCUCUUUUGAUCAUCACUGUUGUCUGACGACACAAUGACUAACAUACGGAAAUAGAAAAAUCAAGACGUGCUUCUUCCAGAGUUUAAAGAUUAUAUGCAAGAAAAGUGGAAGCCAGCUGGAUAUUUGGGCAAGGAGAAGCUCUCAGACAGCUGUCCUAUCCCCGUGGUUGCUUGGGACCAUAGAAGACCGGGUGCUGAUGAAUUAUAUACUGAAUCUGAAGUAGGUUGGGGCAGAAAGUGCCAAGCCUUUGGGUUUGGCUGCCCCAGUGCUCCUUCUCUGGCUUUGCCAUUCCCUAGCCAGAAAAACUUAUGAAAAGUACAGAACUUUCUUGCCUCUGCUCCUCAGCUGUGAAGGGAGGUGAAGUAUGCAAAUCUCACCAACAGUCAAUCACUCCAGGGUAUGGUGGCCUCUUUCUUGCUGCCCCUCCAUAAGACGUGGCCUUGUAAUCCAUCAUCUGACUUCAUUCUUGAGACUUUCAGCACUUCACGUCUGCACUGGAUUUCCCUGAAAGGUCCAAUUUCCAUCUACUCAGUGUUCACAAUGUUACUGAACAUUCACGCCAGGCUGGCUGGCUUUGAGACUGAAGGUGGGGAUGACAAGCCAGUUUCACAGGUGAGGCUGUAAGCUGUGAAGAUGAGGUGCCUUACCCGCCUCACCGACGAGGCCCAGACAGUGCUGGCACAGCACAGAAGUCUCCGAUCAAGCACAUGAAUCUGCCAUGACCCGCACAGUGUUGGCCAGCACCAGAAUGUGCACAGUUCCAUUUGCCAAUGAACAGAGCAAGCACUGUAAGAUGCACUGGCUUUGGAAUUUGUAAAAGUCAAGAGCCUUUACCAUGUAAAAGUCCAUAGAAACAGCAAGAUGCAUGUUAGGAAAUGGCUGAAAUUAGUCAUUGCACCUCCACUUCAGAUUCUUUAGAGAAAAUUGUGGUAGGGACAGAAUGUGAAAACCAGCUGUUUUAUAAUUUCACAGCAACUAUGAUCAGCAUGAUUCGGUAAAAGACAGCUGAGACUAGACUACAAAUAUUAAAAAUGUGAUUUUUAAUAUAAGUACAAAAUUUUAUUUCUUUAUACAAUCAUAAUGGCAUUUGGGUCAAACCACUGGAAUUUAAAAAACAAAAUAAAACAAUGAUAUAAAAA